CUUCCAGUAGCACCUUAGAGAGCAACUAAGUUUGUUAUUGGUAUGAGCUUUCGUGUGCAUGCACACUUAUUCAGAUACAUGAAAGCUCAUACCAAUAACUAACUUAGUUGGUCUCUAAGGUGCUACUGGAAG
Molecule: non-coding RNA, 132 nt
Organism: Podarcis lilfordi (Lilford's wall lizard)
Lineage: Eukaryota; Metazoa; Chordata; Lepidosauria; Squamata; Lacertidae
Source: the annotation of a GenBank genome assembly